This 496-nucleotide long non-coding RNA is filed under the name Marmota monax (woodchuck). Lineage: Eukaryota; Metazoa; Chordata; Mammalia; Rodentia; Sciuridae. The record is from RNAcentral.
UGGCGGCCCGAGGCUCCGCCCUCUCAGAGGCGCGGACGGUGGAACCCCGCGCCUUUUGUGUGGAGCUCCGGUGCUGCGCGCGCUCAUCCACCUCCGCCGACGCACGCGUGCGCACCCCCCUCAGCGGGCGGAGGGCGUACCUUCCCGCGCGCGCCCCCCGUCCGGGCUUGAGGCUGACUCGCUCGCGCGCUCCCCGGGGGCCGCCGCCCCGAGUUGCGAUCGAGCACGCGCGCUCCCGCCGGUCGGACCCCGCUGCUCGCCCCCUCCCCACCCCUUCGGCGGCGGCACGCGCACGCGCACGCGCCGGCCGGGCACGCGCGCCCGCCAAGAUGGCAGGGGCCGGGGCCCAGCUGUCAGUCGCCGCCGCCGCCGCAGCCUUUCUCCGCAGCUAGCGGCCCGGACGCCCGCCCGAGAAGAUGCGCCCCCGCCGCCCGCCGCAGCCCAGCCACUCGCGGAGCCGCCGCGCCCGGGGCCGGCUCCCCCGCUAGCCCCGCGC